RNAcentral lists this ribosomal RNA (343 nucleotides) under uncultured Endozoicomonas sp. RNAcentral's name for it is "bacterial SSU rRNA". It matches the Rfam family "Bacterial small subunit ribosomal RNA", at positions 14 to 355 of the family's 1533-position model. The record is from RNAcentral. Lineage: Bacteria; Pseudomonadati; Pseudomonadota; Gammaproteobacteria; Oceanospirillales; Endozoicomonadaceae.
UGAUCAUGGCUCAGAUUGAACGCUGGCGGCAGGCCUAACACAUGCAAGUCGAGCGGUAGCGGGAAGAGCUUGCUCUUUGCCGACGAGCGGCGGACGGGUGCGUAACACGUAGGAAUCUGCCCGGUAGUGGGGGAUAGCCCGGAGAAAUCCGGAUUAAUACCGCAUACGCCCUAAGGGGAAAAGCAGGGGAUCUUCGGACCUUGCGCUAUCGGAUGAGCCUGCGUCGGAUUAGCUUGUUGGUGGGGUAAAGGCCUACCAAGGCAACGAUCCGUAGCUGGUCUGAGAGGAUGAUCAGCCACACUGGGACUGAGACACGGCCCAGACUCCUACGGGAGGCAGCAGA